Molecule: ribosomal RNA, 112 nt
Filed under: Staphylococcus delphini
Lineage: Bacteria; Bacillati; Bacillota; Bacilli; Caryophanales; Staphylococcaceae
Also listed under: 1 other name
Description: partial 16S ribosomal RNA
Rfam family: Bacterial small subunit ribosomal RNA
Source: RNAcentral
UUUAUGGAGAGUUUGAUCCUGGCUCAGGAUGAACGCUGGCGGCGUGCCUAAUACAUGCAAGUCGAGCGAACAGAUAAGGAGCUUGCUCCUUUGACGUUAGCGGCGGACGGGU